Molecule: ribosomal RNA, 484 nt
Filed under: uncultured bacterium
Lineage: Bacteria
Description: partial 16S ribosomal RNA
Rfam family: Bacterial small subunit ribosomal RNA
Source: RNAcentral
AUUGAACGCUGGCGGCAGGCCUAACACAUGCAAGUCGAGCGGAUGAAGGGAGCUUGCUCCUGGAUUCAGCGGCGGACGGGUGAGUAAUGCCUAGGAAUCUGCCUGGUAGUGGGGGAUAACGUCCGGAAACGGGCGCUAAUACCGCAUACGUCCUGAGGGAGAAAGUGGGGGAUCUUCGGACCUCACGCUAUCAGAUGAGCCUAGGUCGGAUUAGCUAGUUGGUGGGGUAAAGGCCUACCAAGGCGACGAUCCGUAACUGGUCUGAGAGGAUGAUCAGUCACACUGGAACUGAGACACCGUCCAGACUCCUACGGGAGGCAGCAGUGGGGAAUAUUGGACAAAGGGCGAAAGCCUGAUCCAGCCAUGCCGCGUGUGUGAAGAAGGUCUUCGGAUUGUAAAGCACUUUAAGUUGGGAGGAAGGGCAGUAAGUUAAUACCUUGCUGUUUUGACGUUACCAACAGAAUAAGCACCGGCUAACUUCGUG